This 222-nucleotide ribosomal RNA is filed under the name uncultured bacterium. RNAcentral describes it as "partial 16S ribosomal RNA". It matches the Rfam family "Bacterial small subunit ribosomal RNA", at positions 524 to 745 of the family's 1533-position model. The record is from RNAcentral.
UACGAAGGGGGCUAGCGUUGUUCGGAAUUACUGGGCGUAAAGCGCACGUAGGCGGAUUGUUAAGUCGGGGUGAAAUCCCGGGGCUCAACCCCGGAACUGCCUUUGAUACUGGCAAUCUAGAGUCCGGAAGAGGUGAGUGGAAUUCCGAGUGUAGAGGUGAAAUUCGUAGAUAUUCGGGAGGAACACCAGGUGGCGAAGGCGGCUCACUGGGCCGUCAUGACG